This is a long non-coding RNA of Macaca mulatta (Rhesus monkey), 2290 nucleotides long. NCBI's taxonomy places the organism in Eukaryota, Metazoa, Chordata, Mammalia, Primates, Cercopithecidae. The record is from Ensembl.
CCCGUUUCCGGUGCUGUGUACCCGGAAGAUCCUACAUCUUCAUUUGCAUCUCUUAGUAGGCGUCCCCAGAAAGUUUCUUCUCCCCGGGGCCCGCAGUGAACAUUUUGAUGUUAACGGGUGUGGACCAUCAGGAAAGGGCGCCACCCUGGCACUGCCGGAUUAUCACCCUCAGAGAAGCAAAGCAAUUGCCGAACCAUCUCCCGAUAUUUCUUGUGGGUGGGGGAGAGCCUUCUCCUGCCCGGCUCAGCCAGUCCAAUCACCCUCACACAUGUGCGGAGCUCAGUGGGUUUCCAUGCUGGCGCACAGGGAAGAAAACACGUGGAGGAUGCAGAGAAAACCGCGUUAGAAAUGUGCAGAGCCGGGACAGUUUUGAAGCAGCAUUCAAAAUCAGUUGUGGAUCAAGUCAAGAUGAACCCUGAAACAAUACUUUAAAUACCCCCGGAUGAUUUUGAAGGUAUCUGUAAGUGAGAAUAAUUCAUUCUGUUUUAAAGCAUUAAGUUAAUUUUCCCCAAAUGCAACAUAUGAGUUAAAAGAAUCACACCCUUUUUUUAAAAAACGUUGAUGGCAUCCAGCCAGAAACUACCUGCUCAUAAUUUGCUGAUUUCUACAUAGCUCAUCAUUUCACGUUGUAAACUCCAUUGCACAUGGAACACAUAGUUAAGACAGAGGAGCCUGCUAAACGCACAUAUUUGCCAUUGGGCUGGAGUUCUGGUCUUUAAAAUGUGGCACACCCAUUCUUACCCUGCUCUUCCAUAGAAGAGAAGGACAAACUGCGUGGAAUUUGAGAGACUCAAUCCUUUGUUUUAAUCAGACUUCCAGAAAACCAGCGACCUGAAAUGGCAGAGGAGUUCCUCAAUCCUUGUAGACAAAAUAUGAACAACCAGACUUCUCUCCCUUCCAAUGGAAUGUAAAUGGAAAAAAGCAAACCACAGCCACCUACAUUUAGGAGAAGGUUUUUAUUUAUCUCAUUAUCAAGAUCCUUUUAAUUUGCAAAGAGUUUCUUAUGGCAAACAAAUACCUCUUACCCCCCACUUCCGAGAAUGUAGGAACAGAUGAAAGGAAAGUGUAAUGGUUUUGAUCUCAUUAGGACAUCGGCAUUAGUGGGGCAGCAAUUAUAAAAGUAAUUGACUCUGCUUCACCCGGCGUCGGGAGGGGGCCAUGCUGAAGACCCAUCGUGCUCCGAGGUUGGGCUGUCAUCCUUCAUCUUCUGCUGUGUGCCCAUGUGUUAGGUUUUCAGCCCUCAAAGGCAUUCAGUCUUUCUCUGGGACUCAAAGUGCAGCAUAAGACAUAUCUUGGAAUGUUGAUUACUGCUGCCUGGGAUUGACUGUUCAGACACAGCUCCAUCAGGGAAACCAAAUAUGUUGCUGCCACCCUGACAUUUUCGUGUUUUUCUACCUGAUCAUCUGUACAGGACAAGAGAAUUUCUUCUCUGUGGUGACCCAUCAGAAUUAAUGAUCCCAGCAUACCCAGUAGUUUUUAAUGUGCAGUAUGGAUUAAUUCAUAAGACAUCGUCUGACUCAGGUUUGUUUAUACAAAAAUGUGCUCUGUCCACACCAACAUGGCACAUGUAUACAUAUGUAACAAACCUGCACUUGUGUACAUGUACCCUAGAACUUAAAGUAUAAUAAUAAAAAAACCUGGCUAUUGGGCACUAUGCUCACUACCUGGGGUUGUACGCCAACUCUCACCAUCACACAAUAUACCCAUGUAACAACCUGCACAUGUACCCUCUGAAUCUAAAAUAAAAGUUGAAAUAUUUUCUAAAAAAAGUCCUCUGUCUACUAUGAAUUUAUAUGACCCAUGUUUUUCAGUAACCUUUAAUUUUAGAAUAGUUUUAAAUUCACAGACUAUGUUUAAGAUACACCAGAGAGUUCCCAUGCCCUCUGUAUCCAGUUUGUGUUAUUGAUAAUGUGUUAUUAGGGUAUAUUUGCCACAAGGGAACCGAUAUGGAUGUGUUCACCUUUACUAAAGCUCAUAUUGGAUUCAUGUUUCCUCACUUUUGUCCCCCAUGUCAUCCUCUGUCUCAGGAUCCCAUGAAGGACACUGGGUGACUUUGAGCUGUCAUGGUCUCCGAGGCUGUUCUUGGCUGUCAUAGAUUCUCAGACUUUCCUUGCUUUCGAUGACGUUGACAGUUUUGAGGGAGACUGGUCAGGUGCUUGGUGGAUUGUCACUCAAAUGGAGCUUUUCUGAUGUCUUUCUCAUAAUUAGAUGGUAGCUAAAGACAUUUGGGAGGGAGACCACAGAGGCAAAGCGCUGUUCUCAUCACAGCACAUCAAGGGCACACCAAGGC